GCCUCACUCCCUUGGGUUGCUGCAGAAGCGGUGGGAGAACGAGCGGCUGCUGCAGGCCAAGCAGAAGGCCUACGAAGAGGAGAAUCUGUACGAGGGCCUGAACCUGGACGAGUGCUCCAUGUACGAGGACAUCUCGCGAGGCCUGCAGGCCACCUACCAGGACGUGGCCAACAUCCGAGUGCUCGACAUGCAGCUGGAGAAGCCGUGAGGGGUCACUGUGGGGCUGGCAGGGGGACUGGCCAGUUUGCCCCCAGGCUGCCAUGCAAGGCCUCUGGCAAACGCUUGUGACCUUGGCUGUGAGCCAUAUGUCUGGGUACAGGGGUGAGGGGAGGGGGGCGGCUGCUCAUCACCAGGGGACAGCCUGUUGGGCCACGUGUCACUUGAACACGGUCCACGUCACAAUGGUGCCUGUUCCACACAGGGCAACAGGCGGGGAAAGCUGCCGGGGAAAUCUGGCAGCAGCGGGCACCCUGCCGGCAAGGGAAGAGGGUGGGCCCCUGGGUGGGCCCCUGCACCCUCAGCCAGGUACCGCUCACUCGGGGACAGACUGCCAAUGCGCUUGUCUUCCAGCCAGCCCGUCGCAGCUGGCACAGUCGCUAGUUUGGAUGAGCUAAGCUUCAUUAAAGCAGCAGCAUCUUGCGAGCUAA
Molecule: non-coding RNA, 647 nt
Organism: Pelodiscus sinensis (Chinese soft-shelled turtle)
Lineage: Eukaryota; Metazoa; Chordata; Testudines; Trionychidae
Source: RefSeq, a predicted model, not a curated record